UACGGGGGGAGCAAGCGUUGUUCGGAUUUACUGGGCGUAAAGGGCGCGUAGGCGGCGCAACAAGUCACUUGUGAAAUCUCCGGGCUUAACCCGGAGCGGUCAAGUGAUACUGUCGUGCUAGAGUGCGGAAGGGGCUACUGGAAUUCUCGGUGUAGCGGUGAAAUGCGUAGAUAUCGGAAGGAACACCAGUGGCGAAAGCGGCUUCCUGGUCCAGCACCGACGUUCAGGCACGAAAGCGUGGGGAGCAAACAGG
Molecule: ribosomal RNA, 253 nt
Filed under: uncultured bacterium
Lineage: Bacteria
Description: partial 16S ribosomal RNA
Rfam family: Bacterial small subunit ribosomal RNA
Source: RNAcentral